UCUUCUCCUGUCUCAUUCAGUCCUUGGUGCCACUCUAGCAGGAGGUGGAGCUUGACAGGCAGAAAUCAGAAACAAUCUGUCAACACAACAUAAUUUAGACUCUGGUUGUAGCUGCUCUACAACAUCUGAUUGGGCUCCAGUCCCAGCGAUGCAGCUCUUUAUGUCAUUGGUUUUAUUCACUGGGUUUGCUGGUAAAAGUCAUCAGCAAACCAUCCACUCAAUGCAGGACAGGGUCCAGGCUCUACAAGGAGACAACGUGACUCUCUCCUGCAACUAUACCUCAUCAAACUAUUUAUUCUGGUAUCGCCAGUUCCCCAGCUCACCUCCACAGUUCCUUAUUAAGGAAUACCAGAAGGCCUUUCGAUUUACUCUUAAAAAGGAAGAAGAACGAAACAUGUUCCAUCUGGAGAUCUCCUCUGCUGUGUUGACAGACUCUGCUCUGUACUACUGUGCUCUGCAGCCCACAGUGACAGGAAACACACACUCCCUGUACAAAAACCUGCUGAGCACAAAACUCUCUUCCAUCUCCCCCUGAGAACAGUACACAGACAUUAAUGACAAAAUACAUCAACUCAUCACAAGAUUUAUUUCCUAAUUAAUUAAAGUUCCCUAUUUCCCAUUUACAAAAUAUUUACACAUUCUGCAGUUCAUUAUAUAGCCAUGUUAUUUGGAAUAUUGUGGUUUUAAUAGUGUGGUGGUUCAUUUGUAGAGUUUAUUUUCUUCUUCCUUAAAGGGGACAUAUUAUGAAAACAACACUUUUACUUGGAUUUGGGGUGUUGUUUUGCGGGGACCAGGUUGUUUUCGUUCAGCAGUCUGACAGC
Molecule: non-coding RNA, 821 nt
Organism: Gadus chalcogrammus (walleye pollock)
Lineage: Eukaryota; Metazoa; Chordata; Actinopteri; Gadiformes; Gadidae
Source: the annotation of a RefSeq genome assembly